UACAGGGGGUGCAAACGUUGCUCGGAAUCAUUGGGCGUAAAGCGCACGUAGGCGGUUAUUUAAGUCGGAUGUGAAAGCCCUUGGCUCAACCGAGGAAGUGCAUCCGAAACUGAAUAGCUGGAGUACGAAAGAGGGUCGCGGAAUUCCCGGUGUAGAGGUGAAAUUCGUAGAUAUCGGGAGGAACACCGGUGGCGAAGGCGGCGACCUGGGUCGAUACUGACGCUGAGGUGCGAAAGCGUGGGGAGCAAACAGG
This 253-nucleotide ribosomal RNA is filed under the name uncultured bacterium. RNAcentral's name for it is "partial 16S ribosomal RNA". It matches the Rfam family "Bacterial small subunit ribosomal RNA", at positions 524 to 776 of the family's 1533-position model. The record is from RNAcentral.